GCUGGGUGUGGUGGUGCGCACCUGUAAUCCCAGCUACUCAGGAGGCUGAGGCACGAGAAUCGCUUGAACCCGGGAAGCGGAGGUUGCAGUGAGCUGAGAUAGCACCACUGCACUCCAGCCUGGGCUAUAGAGUGAGAUUCUGUCUCAA
Molecule: non-coding RNA, 148 nt
Filed under: Homo sapiens (human)
Lineage: Eukaryota; Metazoa; Chordata; Mammalia; Primates; Hominidae
Source: Rfam by way of RNAcentral